Molecule: ribosomal RNA, 484 nt
Filed under: uncultured bacterium
Lineage: Bacteria
Description: partial 16S ribosomal RNA
Rfam family: Bacterial small subunit ribosomal RNA
Source: RNAcentral
AUUGAACGCUGGCGGCAGGCCUAACACAUGCAAGUCGAGCGGAUGAAGGGAGCUUGCUCCUGGAUUCAGCGGCGGACGGGUGAGUAAUGCCUAGGAAUCUGCCUGGUAGUGGGGGAUAACGUCCGGAAACGGGCGCUAAUACCGCGUACGUCCUGAGGGAGAAAGUGGGGGAUCUUCGGGCCUCACGCUAUCAGAUGAGCCUAGGUCGGAUUAGCUAGUUGGUGGGGUAAAGGCCUACCAAGGCGACGAUCCGUAACUGGUCUGAGAGGAUGAUCAGUCACACUGGAACUGAGACACGGUCCAGACUCCUACGGGAGGCAGCAGUGGGGAAUAUUGGACAAUGGGCGAAAGCCUGAUCCAGCCAUGCCGCGUGUGCGAAGAAGGUCUUCGGAUUGUAAAGCACUUUAAGUUGGGAGGAAGGGCAGUAAGUUAAUACCUUGCUGUUUUGACGUUACCAACAGAAUAAGCACCGGCUAACUUCGUG